This 2903-nucleotide ribosomal RNA is filed under the name Escherichia coli. Its description in RNAcentral is "23S ribosomal RNA". It matches the Rfam family "Bacterial large subunit ribosomal RNA". Lineage: Bacteria; Pseudomonadati; Pseudomonadota; Gammaproteobacteria; Enterobacterales; Enterobacteriaceae. The record is from RNAcentral.
GGUUAAGCGACUAAGCGUACACGGUGGAUGCCCUGGCAGUCAGAGGCGAUGAAGGACGUGCUAAUCUGCGAUAAGCGUCGGUAAGGUGAUAUGAACCGUUAUAACCGGCGAUUUCCGAAUGGGGAAACCCAGUGUGUUUCGACACACUAUCAUUAACUGAAUCCAUAGGUUAAUGAGGCGAACCGGGGGAACUGAAACAUCUAAGUACCCCGAGGAAAAGAAAUCAACCGAGAUUCCCCCAGUAGCGGCGAGCGAACGGGGAGCAGCCCAGAGCCUGAAUCAGUAUGUGUGUUAGUGGAAGCGUCUGGAAAGGCGCGCGAUACAGGGUGACAGCCCCGUACACAAAAAUGCACAUGCUGUGAGCUCGAUGAGUAGGGCGGGACACGUGGUAUCCUGUCUGAAUAUGGGGGGACCAUCCUCCAAGGCUAAAUACUCCUGACUGACCGAUAGUGAACCAGUACCGUGAGGGAAAGGCGAAAAGAACCCCGGCGAGGGGAGUGAAAAAGAACCUGAAACCGUGUACGUACAAGCAGUGGGAGCACGCUUAGGCGUGUGACUGCGUACCUUUUGUAUAAUGGGUCAGCGACUUAUAUUCUGUAGCAAGGUUAACCGAAUAGGGGAGCCGAAGGGAAACCGAGUCUUAACUGGGCGUUAAGUUGCAGGGUAUAGACCCGAAACCCGGUGAUCUAGCCAUGGGCAGGUUGAAGGUUGGGUAACACUAACUGGAGGACCGAACCGACUAAUGUUGAAAAAUUAGCGGAUGACUUGUGGCUGGGGGUGAAAGGCCAAUCAAACCGGGAGAUAGCUGGUUCUCCCCGAAAGCUAUUUAGGUAGCGCCUCGUGAAUUCAUCUCCGGGGGUAGAGCACUGUUUCGGCAAGGGGGUCAUCCCGACUUACCAACCCGAUGCAAACUGCGAAUACCGGAGAAUGUUAUCACGGGAGACACACGGCGGGUGCUAACGUCCGUCGUGAAGAGGGAAACAACCCAGACCGCCAGCUAAGGUCCCAAAGUCAUGGUUAAGUGGGAAACGAUGUGGGAAGGCCCAGACAGCCAGGAUGUUGGCUUAGAAGCAGCCAUCAUUUAAAGAAAGCGUAAUAGCUCACUGGUCGAGUCGGCCUGCGCGGAAGAUGUAACGGGGCUAAACCAUGCACCGAAGCUGCGGCAGCGACGCUUAUGCGUUGUUGGGUAGGGGAGCGUUCUGUAAGCCUGUGAAGGUGUGCUGUGAGGCAUGCUGGAGGUAUCAGAAGUGCGAAUGCUGACAUAAGUAACGAUAAAGCGGGUGAAAAGCCCGCUCGCCGGAAGACCAAGGGUUCCUGUCCAACGUUAAUCGGGGCAGGGUGAGUCGACCCCUAAGGCGAGGCCGAAAGGCGUAGUCGAUGGGAAACAGGUUAAUAUUCCUGUACUUGGUGUUACUGCGAAGGGGGGACGGAGAAGGCUAUGUUGGCCGGGCGACGGUUGUCCCGGUUUAAGCGUGUAGGCUGGUUUUCCAGGCAAAUCCGGAAAAUCAAGGCUGAGGCGUGAUGACGAGGCACUACGGUGCUGAAGCAACAAAUGCCCUGCUUCCAGGAAAAGCCUCUAAGCAUCAGGUAACAUCAAAUCGUACCCCAAACCGACACAGGUGGUCAGGUAGAGAAUACCAAGGCGCUUGAGAGAACUCGGGUGAAGGAACUAGGCAAAAUGGUGCCGUAACUUCGGGAGAAGGCACGCUGAUAUGUAGGUGAAGUCCCUCGCGGAUGGAGCUGAAAUCAGUCGAAGAUACCAGCUGGCUGCAACUGUUUAUUAAAAACACAGCACUGUGCAAACACGAAAGUGGACGUAUACGGUGUGACGCCUGCCCGGUGCCGGAAGGUUAAUUGAUGGGGUCAGCGCAAGCGAAGCUCUUGAUCGAAGCCCCGGUAAACGGCGGCCGUAACUAUAACGGUCCUAAGGUAGCGAAAUUCCUUGUCGGGUAAGUUCCGACCUGCACGAAUGGCGUAAUGAUGGCCAGGCUGUCUCCACCCGAGACUCAGUGAAAUUGAACUCGCUGUGAAGAUGCAGUGUACCCGCGGCAAGACGGAAAGACCCCGUGAACCUUUACUAUAGCUUGACACUGAACAUUGAGCCUUGAUGUGUAGGAUAGGUGGGAGGCUUUGAAGUGUGGACGCCAGUCUGCAUGGAGCCGACCUUGAAAUACCACCCUUUAAUGUUUGAUGUUCUAACGUUGACCCGUAAUCCGGGUUGCGGACAGUGUCUGGUGGGUAGUUUGACUGGGGCGGUCUCCUCCUAAAGAGUAACGGAGGAGCACGAAGGUUGGCUAAUCUGGUCGGACAUCAGGAGGUUAGUGCAAUGGCAUAAGCCAGCUUGACUGCGAGCGUGACGGCGCGAGCAGGUGCGAAAGCAGGUCAUAGUGAUCCGGUGGUUCUGAAUGGAAGGGCCAUCGCUCAACGGAUAAAAGGUACUCCGGGGAUAACAGGCUGAUACCGCCCAAGAGUUCAUAUCGACGGCGGUGUUUGGCACCUCGAUGUCGGCUCAUCACAUCCUGGGGCUGAAGUAGGUCCCAAGGGUAUGGCUGUUCGCCAUUUAAAGUGGUACGCGAGCUGGGUUUAGAACGUCGUGAGACAGUUCGGUCCCUAUCUGCCGUGGGCGCUGGAGAACUGAGGGGGGCUGCUCCUAGUACGAGAGGACCGGAGUGGACGCAUCACUGGUGUUCGGGUUGUCAUGCCAAUGGCACUGCCCGGUAGCUAAAUGCGGAAGAGAUAAGUGCUGAAAGCAUCUAAGCACGAAACUUGCCCCGAGAUGAGUUCUCCCUGACUCCUUGAGAGUCCUGAAGGAACGUUGAAGACGACGACGUUGAUAGGCCGGGUGUGUAAGCGCAGCGAUGCGUUGAGCUAACCGGUACUAAUGAACCGUGAGGCUUAACCUU